AGAAACGCCGAAAGCGCUCAUGAUUAAUGAGCGACAUUCACCUUUACUUUGGAUCCACCUGCAAGAGCUGCUGUAUUCGAGCUGCAGAGAUCUGCUGAGGCUACAGCUCAGUCCUAUUCAGCAGCGACACACGGAAGAGGACACCAAAAUGAAUUCCUCCAUCGACAGAUGUGUGUCUCCAUGUGCCGAUAGAGGGACAGAGCCGAUGGAGGGAUUGACAGUGUGAUGGAGGAAGAGAGUGAGGACAAGAAGAAGAGAGAUGACAUCAUGUGAACAGACCCCACCCUGAAGGCACAGACGAGCUUCUCAUCACUCUCUUACUGUCUCAUCAUGUGUUGACUGGUAUGCCUGAGGACACGAGACAGCUUGACAUAAGCACUGGCGGACCUGCAAGUCGACUUCACAGCGGUAUGGCAGGUCUAAGUGUAUCUUGGGAGGUCAUGACCCUCCCACACUGAGCUGGACAAACAGGACUGAGGAGCUGCAACUGGACAAAGAAUGUUCCUUUUGUUUUUGUUUGGUUAAAUUUUUUCUGUAUAAAAAUACUGGAAAAUUCCUCCCUUUGCACCAGUGCAAAGAAAAUAUCUUUGCAAAGAAUAAGGCAGAAUUUACAUAAGAAACAUUAUGCGACUAUAACAAAAACAACAGAAGCUGUGUUGUGAGUAUGCAUUUGUAUUCUCUCUCUCCCUCUCUCUGUCUUUUUUUGUGAUUGCUGCCUCCCCAGCAUGAUUCAUUCUUUUCCCUGGACUUGAAAAUACAUUUCUGUUGUCAACCGCAUCUACUAGUCUGUAUUAUCUGUACAUCCCACAGUAUAUAUGUUCACUCUCCAUCAGGUUCAGUGUGGAGCCAAUUGUUACCUUAAAAAAAAAAAAAAAAAAAAGCUAAAAUGAAUGAUUUAGAGGGUGUUUGCAUUUUUACAUUUAUUGGAUGUCAACUCUCCUUCUUUGGCUCCUCUGAGUGAGGCAGCAGCUGUGGCAGAAUUGGGAAGACUGGCUUUUCGCAAAGCUGCAGCACUCCUAGUGGUGGAAACACAGAAGAGGUGUUUUAUUUCUGGAAAACUAACCAGACUGCAGGAGACAGCUUCAGACUGAACUUUAUAAUGAUUAUGAUCCACUGUGUUUCUGUGUUGUGCUUUUGCAGUGACAGUCCUAUUUGUGUGUUUGUGUCAGUGGAAGCAGGGAUGAGGAAGCAUACGUGACUUUCCUGUGCCUAUCUGUGUCAUCAAACAGCAACGCACAUGUGCCUGUGUAUAUGUGCAUCAAUGGAGAAAAAUAGCCUCACUAUUGUGUUUUCACUUGCAUAUCCGGGCUUGGGCUGUGUUCAUUUGAACCCUUUUUAUUUUUGAAACAGUGUGCAUGAUUUGUAAAUGUCAGUAAAAAUGGCAUGCCAAUAAAGGCUCUGAAGAAGU
Melanotaenia boesemani (Boeseman's rainbowfish) is the source of this 1408-nucleotide long non-coding RNA. RefSeq lists it as uncharacterized. The transcript is spliced from 4 exons. Lineage: Eukaryota; Metazoa; Chordata; Actinopteri; Atheriniformes; Melanotaeniidae. The record is from RefSeq and is a predicted model, not a curated record.